Long non-coding RNA from Juglans microcarpa x Juglans regia, 795 nucleotides. RefSeq lists it as uncharacterized. NCBI's taxonomy places the organism in Eukaryota, Viridiplantae, Streptophyta, Magnoliopsida, Fagales, Juglandaceae. The transcript has 3 exons. The record is from RefSeq and is a predicted model, not a curated record.
AACAGAAAACCCCAAAGUAUCCAGAUGGUGAAAUCGUUCACCAUUUGAAUGGAGAGAGAGACUUCCGGUGGAAUUCCUCUUUGCCCUGCCUCGGCUUAGUCUUUGCCCUCGAUUUUGCUCAAUCGGUGUCUUCUGGUGCGAAACAUUGCCUCUUGAUUAAUGGUUUUCAAUGGUAGCGAUGAGUUCUAGUAUGAGCUAAGGUCGUGAGAAUCAUUGAAAUUAGACGAGCUCGAGCACGAAGUCAUUUGUCUGCUCGAAUUAAAGAUUUACGGUCCUCAGCUAUUCGGCAGUGAGAAGCACCUCAAAGAUUUCUCACGGCAAGGCAUACCCACUGCGAUCGUUGAUCUCCAAGGCCUCUGCGGUUUAUAUGUCCUAAGCUAUCACGCGGUGGGACUCACACCGAGAUUAUUGAACAUCAUGUGCGUGAUUUGGCCACUGUUGGGUAUCCAGUUAAGAGUGUGAAACAACCAUGCUUCAGUGGCUUCCAUCAUGCUUGUUACUAAAAUUGCGUACAACAUUGUAAGUGAAAGUAAUAGGAUGCUUAUUUUGACAUUAAUGAUUUGCCACAGUUCCUUUCCUUUGCCACCCCACAACCUCUGUGUUCGUAUGUGAAAUGAAUGCAACCAUUGUUUUAAUUUUUUCUUCCAUCAUCUCAUCAUCUUUUCAUAUUAUUAUCAUCUAGACGAGACUCAAUAGUUUCAUCAUAGGCAUUAUUUGCCUCUAGAAAUAAAACUUGAGUGUUUAGAAAAUGUCAUAGUAUAUAUAAGAUUAAAAUGAAAAUGGAAUAAUGCACAA